Molecule: small RNA, 2437 nt
Filed under: Oryza sativa Japonica Group (Japanese rice)
Lineage: Eukaryota; Viridiplantae; Streptophyta; Magnoliopsida; Poales; Poaceae
Description: Os04g0461700
Source: RNAcentral
GAGAGAGAGAGAGUGAGAGCAUACAGGGCGAGAAAAUUUCUUGCUCUCAUCGUCCCACGCGAUGCGGCGAUUGUGGAAGGCGACACAACAUCGAUUCGCCGUGGUGGGUUUUUGACGCUGAUUUGUGGGAGUCAUCGACGAUUCGUUGGCAAUAUCGUUCUUCCUUUCUCCGGGAAGUUGAUUUGAAUUGGUGUCCUAAGAGGGAAGCCAUGAAUGCGAAAAAGAUAAGUACUGCACACUAACUUUUUGAUAUGUUAAGAGUUUUGAAUUUUGUUGAUAUCGAUACGUUACACUGACUAGUUCGUUGAAAUUAUCUAAAAAAAAUGUAAGGUAAAAUUAUCAUGACAUUACAACAAUUCUGAAUUUUUUAGGUCUAGUUCUAUUUCUAAAAUGACUUUUUUUGAUAUUCAGGUUUGCAUUUAUCUGCCUGAUGUGAGGCCACUUUUUUUUAUAGAGAAUACUUCCUGAUCUGUAUGUUUGAAACUUUAUCAAUUUACUUCCAUGUUACUUCUGAAAUUUAACUCUAGAUAUAGUAUUGUGUUAAAUAAUGAACUGAGUUAGUAGUUUGUGUUAGUUACAGGAAUUUACUAUUGAAAUUUCACCUUUUUUGUGUAAUUUUUUAACUAAAUAACUGUAAUAUCUUACCUGAUCAGUUUCUGUUUUUGAAUUGAAACUGUGUAACUUAAAUUUGUUCUAUCAAUCUGUGAAACAUGUAUGAUGGAUUGAGAUCACUUCACAUGGUAGAUUUCAGAUGAUUGAUUUGUUUUCUAUACAGAAUUUUACACAGUCAGAUUAAUAAAUGCAGAAGUAAACAUGAUCUUUUAUCUCCUUUUACUUUAUACUGAUGUCUUUAACAUUGUCUAUUUGGAAAUUGUCCACAAUAACUAGAGUUCAGGUAUAUAUUAGGGCCUAUUGAUGUAUUUAGGUUUAAGUUUAUUUCUGAAGUGACUUUUUCUGAUAUUUAGAUUUUGUUUUUAUCUGCCUUAUUUGAGACAAUGAACUCUAGAUGUAGUACUGUGUUAAAUGAUGAACUGAGUUAGUAAUUUGUGUCAGUUACAGGAAUGUACUAUUGAAAUUACAAAAUUUUUUUGGUGUAAUUCUUUAACUAAAAAAACUGUAAUAUAUUUGCAAACAUGUAAAACAGUUCAUAGUUUGCUAUAAUGAAUGUUUUUUUGCUGUUUUGUAAGUAUGUUACUCUUUUAAUAUUUUUGUUUGUAACUUUGAAUAAUUGACUUUGCUGUCCUUGGCUACUUUUGUGUGUUCUUCUUGAUCUUGUCCAGUUUGUUUGUUUGUAUGUAAAUUAGAGGACUUGUUUCUUGAAAAUGAAAAUGAAAAUGGUGGCUAAUAUCUUCACUAGGAGAAAUAUGAUGUGCAUUUUUUAUUCUUUUUUAUGUCACCAAGUUAAAUGCAUGGUUUGAAAUUAGUAUGCAUGUGUACUUUAUCAUUUUGCACUAUAAAUACUAUAUCUAUUACUAUUACUAUAGUGCAUUAAUUCAUCAAUUACAGUAAUUUAUUACUGAAAUUACACUCUUUCUUUUGUUGUAAUUCCUUAACUAAAUAACUGUAAUAUGUUUUGAAACAUGUAAAAUAAUACAUAGUUAACUGUAAUGGAUGCAUUUUUUUAAUUUGGAAUGAAGGUGUUGAACCAGAGAAUGAAAUUAAUGAUGAUGUUAAUGAAGCUGUUCAAGAUAAUGAUAAUUUUACAUCAUCUCCAAUGGUAUAAUUUUUUAACUCACUUUUUUAUUAAUUACAUCAUCUCCAAUGGUAUAAUUACAAUGUAAUUUUGUACAAUGUGUGUAUUUGAAUAGUUUUAUGCUUCAGUUGUAUAAUAGCUGAAAACCUUGAAAUUGUUAGGGUGUACAGUGUGUGCAUUUGAACAGUUUUAUGUAAUCUGCAAAUGGUUAAAUAGGGUUUUCUAAUUGAAAGAUUGAUUAUGGUGACAAUUUGCAUUGCUACCUAAUUUGUGUUGAUGACAAGAAUGUGCAAUUCUUGCUAGACCAGGUAGAAAUAUAAUUGAUGUUCUGAAUUUUUAUGAUUGAUGACAGUUACUAAUUCUAUUGAAGCAUUCAGGGUGUUUUUGAGGCUAUAAUUUUGCAAAUGCUAUAUGCUAUGUGCAAUUUAGUUAGGUAUUUUUAAUCUUUCAGUGACAAUCUUGCAUGAGUAAAGAACAAAAGUUAUUGACGAUUUCAAAAUGAGUCAUAGAGGCUGAUUUCCUGAUGCUCGUAGAUAUUUUUCAUAUUAGUUUCAAAUUGAUUUUAGAUUGUUACAUGACUAAGACAGGCUGACUUUUACUAAGUUUCAGAUUGUUCUCUGUAUUUCAAUUUACAGUACAAACAUAUUGCAGUUACAGUUUAAUAGUACUGUAAUUCUAUUAGAAAUUUACUGUAAUUUUUGAAUUUGUCCUGUUAAUUCAAAGAAUUAAGCAUUUUACUUUUUC